This 556-nucleotide ribosomal RNA is filed under the name uncultured bacterium. Its description in RNAcentral is "partial 16S ribosomal RNA". It matches the Rfam family "Bacterial small subunit ribosomal RNA", at positions 355 to 905 of the family's 1533-position model. The record is from RNAcentral.
UGGGGAAUUUUGGACAAUGGGCGAAAGCCUGAUCCAGCAAUGCCGCGUGUGUGAAGAAGGCCUUCGGGUUGUAAAGCACUUUUGUCCGGAAAGAAAUCCUCUGGGUUAAUACCUCGGGGGGAUGACGGUACCGGAAGAAUAAGCACCGGCUAACUACGUGCCAGCAGCCGCGGUAAUACGUAGGGUGCAAGCGUUAAUCGGAAUUACUGGGCGUAAAGCGUGCGCAGGCGGUUUGCUAAGACCGAUGUGAAAUCCCCGGGCUCAACCUGGGAACUGCAUUGGUGACUGGCAGGCUAGAGUAUGGCAGAGGGGGGUAGAAUUCCACGUGUAGCAGUGAAAUGCGUAGAGAUGUGGAGGAAUACCGAUGGCGAAGGCAGCCCCCUGGGCCAAUACUGACGCUCAUGCACGAAAGCGUGGGGAGCAAACAGGAUUAGAUACCCUGGUAGUCCACGCCCUAAACGAUGUCAACUAGUUGUCGGGUCUUCAUUGACUUGGUAACGUGCUAACGCGUGAAGUUGACCGCCUGGGGAGUACGGUCGCAAGAUUAAAACUCAAA